ACGCAGGCGGUCUGUCAAGUCGGAUGUGAAAUCCCCGGGCUCAACCUGGGAACUGCAUUCGAAACUGGCAGGCUAGAGUCUUGUAGAGGGGGGUAGAAUUCCAGGUGUAGCGGUGAAAUGCGUAGAGAUCUGGAGGAAUACCAGUGGCGAAGGCGGCCCCCUGGACAAAGACUGACGCUCAGGUGCGAAAGCGUGGGGAGCAAACAGGACUAGAUACCCUGGUAGUCCACGCCGUAAACGAUGUCGACUUGGAGGUUGUGCCCUUGAGGCGUGGCUUCCGGAGCUAACGCGUUAAGUCGACCGCCUGGGGAGUACGGCCGCAAGGUUAAAACUCAAAUGAAUUGACGGGGGCCCGCACAAGCGGUGGAGCAUGUGGUUUAAUUCGAUGCAACGCGAAGAACCUUACCUACUCUUGACAUCCAGAGAAUUUAGCAGAGAUGCUUUAGUGCCUUCGGGAACUCUGAGACAGGUGCUGCAUGGCUGUCGUCAGCUCGUGUUGCGAAAUGUUGGGUUAAGUCCCGCAACGAGCGCAACCCUUAUCCUUUGUUGCCAGCGGUUCGGCCGGGAACUCAAAGGAGACUGCCAGUGAUAAACUGGAGGAAGGUGGGGAUGACGUCAAGUCAUCAUGGCCCUUACGAGUAGGGCUACACACGUGCUACAAUGGCAUAUACAAAGAGAAGCGACCUCGCGAGAGCAAGCGGACCUCAUAAAGUAUGUCGUAGUCCGGAUCGGAGUCUGCAACUCGACUCCGUGAAGUCGGAAUCGCUAGUAAUCG
Molecule: ribosomal RNA, 775 nt
Filed under: uncultured Pseudomonadota bacterium
Lineage: Bacteria; Pseudomonadati; Pseudomonadota
Description: bacterial SSU rRNA
Rfam family: Bacterial small subunit ribosomal RNA
Source: RNAcentral